GACGUACUGAACCUGCGGAAGGAUCAUUA
Molecule: ribosomal RNA, 29 nt
Filed under: Arthroderma multifidum
Lineage: Eukaryota; Fungi; Ascomycota; Eurotiomycetes; Onygenales; Arthrodermataceae
Description: partial 18S ribosomal RNA
Source: RNAcentral